Molecule: unclassified non-coding RNA, 276 nt
Filed under: Hevea brasiliensis (rubber tree)
Lineage: Eukaryota; Viridiplantae; Streptophyta; Magnoliopsida; Malpighiales; Euphorbiaceae
Source: RNAcentral
GGCAGGUCCGGGUGCUAAAGGUAGUACUGGUGGAGUGGGCAGGGCCAUUUGAAAUAGAGCUGGAAUGUUUAUUUUGUUCAUCAAAUGCAGCACCAUAAAGUCAAAGGACUAUGGUUCAUAGCCACUACUAGUGUCAAGGACUCAAGGGCACCGAAAAACUGAAUCUGUGAAGAGUCAGACUGCAAUGGCAAAAAUAAUUUCCAGGAGCUGCUCCUUUGAAGUCCACCCAUCAAAGUCCAGCACAUCAAUUACUCCACAAUUUCACCCUCUUUUAAU